Gorilla gorilla gorilla (western lowland gorilla) is the source of this 3532-nucleotide long non-coding RNA. RefSeq lists it as uncharacterized. The record is from RefSeq and is a predicted model, not a curated record. The transcript has 4 exons. NCBI's taxonomy places the organism in Eukaryota, Metazoa, Chordata, Mammalia, Primates, Hominidae.
AACCCACUCCGGUCACCUUACACGUUAUGAGAGAUUUGUUUUUUCACUUUUUGCAAUAAAUCUUGCUGCUGCUCACUGUUUGGGUCUGCACUGCCUUUAUGAGCUGUGACACUCGCCGUGAAGGUCUGCAGGUUCACUCCUGAAGUCAGCAAGACCACAAGCCCACUGGGAGGAACGAACAGCGGCAGCUCCAGACGCGGCAGCUCCAGACGCGGCAGCUCCAGACGCGGCAGCUCCAGACGCGGCAGCUCCAGACGCGGCAGCUCCAGACGCGGCAGCUCCAGACGCGGCAGCUCCAGACGCGGCAGCUCCAGACGCGGCAGCUCCAGACGCGGCAGCUCCAGACGCGCCGGUUUGAAGAUCUGCAGCUUCACUGCUGAAGCCAGCGAGACCACGAACCCACCAGAAGGAAGAAACUCCGAACACGUCUGAACAUCACAAGGAACAAACUCCGGACACACCACUUUUAAGAACUGGAACACUCACCGCGAGGGUCCGCGGCUUCAUGUUUGAAGUCAGUGAGACCGAGAACCCACAAAUUCCGGACACGCUAUUUCGGAUUAUAAUUACACAUUUCAGUUGAAAUGUUGGUAGAUUUUGAACUGACAAUAUUUACAUUGAGGCAAUGCAAAGGAAAAGAGAAAGCAUCCUUGUCAUAUUAGAGAAAACUUCGAACAGUUAAAAUUUUAUGGAACGUUGGAGGCAGACAUAGACACAAAGAAAAUGUCAAGCGGAAAUAAAGGCAGACAUCAGGGUGAUGCUUCUACAAGCCAAGAACACCAAGAUUUGCCAGCAAACCACCAGAAGCACCAGUGAAUACAGAAACUGGAUGCAGGGCAGCAAAAUAGAUACAAGCUUUCAGAACAAAUCAGCUUUUUAAAUCUUCAUCCAAAAAUGGUGUAAUGGGAUGUGCCAAUUGGCCUCCAGCCAAGAAGUGGAGCUUGCCAAAAAGCACCAGCUAUGUUGGUAACAGUAGAAUUUGUGCCUGCCUUAUUUUACCCAAGGUAGAUAUUCUGGUGUAUCAGGCAAUGGGCUGGGCCAUGGAGUUCCCAAAUGUACCUGCCCAUCACGUUAGGCUAUCAGGAUGGAUGGAAGGACAAAGCUGGGUGCGGGUGGGUCCAGCAAGUUUGCACUCUGGCUCCCCAUAUACAGGCUCAAGCAGUGGCCCCAGUGGUGAUCAGAAGGCAGUUCCCCGACCACUGGAAUACUGUUCCAGGGAGGAGUGCUGCUGCCUCCGCUGCACAAAAGAUCCACAUGAGGAGCAGCAAUGGAGCCGGUGGCAGUAAGCCCCACUCAGUUCCCACGUACUUGGCAAGGCAGGUCUCACACCCACAGUGCUUUGCCGCAACUAGCUGGGUUCCAGGGAGCCUAGCCUGCUCAUGGGACUCAAAACUGCCCCAGGCCGUAAGCCUUCCCAGUGGAGACAAAAACUGUGAGUUUCAGGCCAUGCCCCUCUUGAUCUGCCAGUGAAGUAGAGGUGCUCAGCUCCUGUGCCCAUGGCUAUAGCACACUUCCUACACGCCCUUCCGUCCUGGCCAAUGAGUUUUGUCCCCAGUCACGAUUCUGUCGCAAUGCUCAGUUGAUGCUUCUCUCAACCUGUGACUACAUCAUGAGUUGGCUGGCAGAUUUCCGUGAGGUCUCCUGUGAGAAAGGAUUUGGAAUGGCUUCCCUCUGUCCCACUGGAGUUUGAAAGUGCAUGCAAAUCUUAUCCCAAUGCCACUCCUUCUCUUAGAGUCCCCACUGCUCACUAAAUCAGCUCCACUGCUAUAUUGGAUUAAGACCUUCUGUGACCUAAAAUGCCUGAGUCCCUUUUGGGAGUGUGAGUCACUGCAGCGGUUUCUCUUUCUCUCACUUGCUAUGGAGACACACAGUUUUCCUCUGGGUCAUGGUUUAGGCCGUUGCCCACUGGUUCUUUCCAAAGGCGUGUGGUUUCUUUCACAGCAUGAAUCUUCACACACUAUUUUGUCUUUCCAAGUGGGAGAGGCAUGCUAACAAUGUCUUCAGUCCACCAUCAUGGAAAAAAAAAAAAGUAUUUUUUUUUUCUGUCUACAGUGGAAACACUCUUGCUUUCUUUUACUAGCUGUCUCAUACUCAUCCUGAUUGUUACCUGGACCUGAGAAUAAAAUCAGAUGUCUACCAAGAAUCCUUUUGAGGGUAAAAGAAUGUAAGAAAACAAAAUUGGAUAAUAAAGACAACACAAUAGCUUAUUCCACAUGAGAACUAGAUGAUGGCAAAGUAGUGAGAAAUGAGAAGUUUUUAAUCAUGAAGACAGAGCAGAGAAACUACCUUUUCCAAAAAAGUAAAGAUCAUAGGUUUAUGACAUUUCCAGUAUAUUUGUGAUUUAUUCAAUCUCUCCUGCCUUACUCUAAUAAGAGAGUUUCCUACACAAUAUUUAGGAGCAUUAAUUAUAGAGCUUGACUCCCUGAGUUCAAAUCUAGGCUCCACCAUGGGAAUAUAUUAAGGGUUUUUGUUUUGUUUUGUUUUGUUUGUUUUUGAGAUGGAAUCUCACUCUGUUGCCCAGGCUGGAGUGCAGUGGUGCCAUCUCUGCUCAGGUGAUCUGCCCGCCUCGGCCUCCCAAAGUGCUAGGAUUAUAGGGUUAAGCCACCGCACCAGGCUAUAUUAAGUUUUUAAUAGAUUUCUUAACAUUUAUUUAAGCGUCUUCAUUACAGAAUAAUAGAAUAGUUCCUCAAAUCUUCCAGUAGACAUUGAGUGCAAAUAAAUUUCAAUUUCAUGAAGAGCAUUUUAAUUGACAAAUAAUUUCCACAAGACAGAAAUGCUAUUGAAGUAAGCUAUUAUUGGAAAUUCUCAAACUCUAUUGGAAAAAAGUCCUAAAAGGCAAGAUUCUAAAAUGAAUAACAAUCAAUCCAGGGCACAAUCAAAGGAAAGUGAGGAAAAAAUCUAUUUUUGUACUUAAUUCAUUUCUUAACUCUAAAUCACACAGACUUCAAUUAUUAAAUACUAUGUGGGUUAAUGUUUUGAAAUGAAGAAUUUGCCUCCUAAUGUGAAAUCUACAGUUCAUCAUAAAGUUGAUGAAGUAAUGUUCUUGGCUUAGUUACUCCCCAGAGAAACUAGUUCUCUUUUUGUGCUGUGUGCUUGGUACAUACUAAAAAGAGAAUUAAAAAAAAGAAUGUAUUUCCCAUAUGAAAAUAUGGCAGAAUAUUAAUAGGUUGAAGUACUACAGCUUCUCAUAAAGCACUGAGGGCCAAACACUAAUCAUUUUGCUGGGAAUUUAAAUAUUUUAUAUGGAAUCUGUUAUGUGUUUUAAUUCUCACUAUAAAACUGGAAAUGUAUUCUUAAAAUAAAAGUCCCCUAAACAUAAUUGAAGUGACCUCAAUAACAAUAAAAUAUUCAAAGAACAUAACCAUAACCAUAAUGAGCCAGAAAAAUAAAACAUUAAAUCAAGAGAUAUAAGAAACACUAAACUUCUCUCCAUGAAGUAGUAACACUUUAAAUAAGGAAAGAUUAAAGCGAAUUUUUUUUCUUUUAGCUAAAACUUUCGCAUCCUUUAAAUAAAGAUUUAUUACUGUCUUAU